UGACAGUGAGAGUCGCUAGCAAAUGAAAUAUUGUGCUUUCUUAGCAAAACGCAGAGAGCACACAUGCGAUUCACAUGUAAAUUGUAAUCAUGGCCACUGACCCAUAUGGUCUCCAUAAAGAAAUGCAGAGGGUUUAAUUUUCCAAAGAUCAACGGAUAGUGGAGAUGCUCUAAUUUCUAUAAAGUGUUACAUAAAGAAAUGUAUAUAUCAAUGCACAUUCUUCUUCUUAUAUCUACCAUAGAUAUAUAUUGAAAUGCAGGGAAGCUUCUUUCGUGGAA
Molecule: long non-coding RNA, 278 nt
Filed under: Glycine max (soybean)
Lineage: Eukaryota; Viridiplantae; Streptophyta; Magnoliopsida; Fabales; Fabaceae
Description: long non-coding RNA (GMAX_LNC002708)
Source: RNAcentral